This 248-nucleotide unclassified non-coding RNA is filed under the name Hevea brasiliensis (rubber tree). The record is from RNAcentral. Lineage: Eukaryota; Viridiplantae; Streptophyta; Magnoliopsida; Malpighiales; Euphorbiaceae.
UCAAGAUGCUCAAUUUCCCUCUUGUUUCCAUUACCAUUGCUGAAAAGUGCCGAACUACCAGGAAUUGUCUGUGUUUCAACCCUAGAUGCAAGAAAGUCCCCUGAAGACACAUUAUCACGAAUUUGUACUCCUGAACUGAAAGGAAUUUGUGCUGCUUCCAUGGCUGCAAUAAAAUUCUCAGAAUAAGUAUCCCCUUUUGGCGAAAUACUAAAACCCACUUCCUCCUCCCCCUCCUCCUCCUCCUCCUC